RNAcentral lists this unclassified non-coding RNA (999 nucleotides) under Zea mays. RNAcentral describes it as "misc RNA Zm00001eb317750". The record is from RNAcentral. Lineage: Eukaryota; Viridiplantae; Streptophyta; Magnoliopsida; Poales; Poaceae.
GCCGCGGGGGAAGGCGCGGCGGAGGCGGCGGCGGCGAUGGGCGGCGGCACGGCGUCGUGCUCCAGGUCGGGCAGGUCCCAGGAAACCGGCAUCUUGAGAUCCCAAUCCAUGAAUGGGAACGGCGCGGGCGAUGGAUAGCAAGCUCGACCGUUUCCCCGUCGGCCAGUGCAGAGCUAGGCGCCGCGUGCCCGUGCCCGUGCCCGUGCCCGUGGCCGAGCUGGAGCUCUGUGUGCGUGUCUUUCACGGCCAGGACAGUGCCGCGGCCGGUUUGUUGGGUUCCCCUGUCCCUCUCAUCCUAUAGGCCGCUCUGCCGCGGGGAGGGUGGCAACGAGCCAGCCAGACACCGAGGGGAGUUAUUGCCUGGGCACCACCGCGCGCGCACAGAAGCGAACAAAUCGAGCACGGGAACAGGGCAAAUGCCGCAGAUCAGCAGGGGGGGCUGCUGAGCUUAUCCUGAUGGGGAGGAGAGAGAGAGAGAAACAAACAGCCAGCCAGAGGGAGGGAGAUGAGCUGCCGCUAGAGCUAGAUGCCGGGCGGUGCCCGGUGGUGUCGAAGCGAGUGGUGCGCGGAGGGGGAUGUGCUACUGCAGUCUGCUUGGUGGGAGGGGAGCCGUGGAAGUGGAAGUGAGGAACAACCGAACAAGCAGGCGCAAGACCAGCACCAGUGCACCACCACCACCACCACCACCGAGGAAGAGGAGGCCAGGCACAGCCACAGCCAGUACGUGCUCGCAGAGGCAAGUGCAGCGCAGGUGUAUCAGUGUAGUUGUGUGGAUUGCGAGUGGUGUGGUGUGGAGGGCUACCUCUAUCAGCUAGAGCUCAGCUCAGCUUUCAGACCUCAACUGAUGAGGGCGUGGAUCAGUGGAUGGAUGCAUGCCCAUCUUAUACUAAUCACUCGACUCCACUAUUCUAUUAUUACGAUAACAAAAACAAAAACUAUUUUUUUGUAUGGAUUUGUUUUUCUUCGUUCCACUGCGAAAUGCAACAUUGCUUGCAGUAG